CAAAAAUGGAUGAUGCGACGGCUGAUGUUAUUCUACGGGAUAUAUUGAACAAACCUGAUUAUUGUCACAACACAUCUAUACAGAACAGCAAUGUUGUUGAUGAGCAACCGUUUUUCCCACACGCGACAGGGGGUCGUGCUAAAACAUUCGAAUAUAAAGCAGAUGACGCUGUAGCAAUGCGUUAUGCGCCGACGAUACCAUCAGGAUGUGAUACAGUAGCGCAAAUACCCCGUCUUAGUACAAGCGGGAAAAUAUCAAAACGCACAACCGCCGCUGAAACGGAAAGCCAUCAAUUCGCAGCAGCAGAUGAUGCUGUAGCAAGACGCUAUGCUCCUUUGAUACCAACAGUCAGUGAUACAUGCGCGCAGAUACACAGACCUAGUACAAGCGGGAAAAUAUCAAAACGCACAACCGCCGCUGAAGCGGAGAACCAUCAAUUCGUAACGCCGGCAAUUGUACAUAAGGACGUU
Molecule: long non-coding RNA, 470 nt
Organism: Pseudophryne corroboree (corroboree frog)
Lineage: Eukaryota; Metazoa; Chordata; Amphibia; Anura; Myobatrachidae
Exons: 3
Source: RefSeq, a predicted model, not a curated record